RNAcentral lists this transfer RNA (69 nucleotides) under Rattus norvegicus (Norway rat). It matches the Rfam family "tRNA". From Rfam's summary of the family: Transfer RNA (tRNA) molecules are approximately 80 nucleotides in length. Their secondary structure includes four short double-helical elements and three loops (D, anti-codon, and T loops). Further hydrogen bonds mediate the characteristic L-shaped molecular structure. tRNAs have two regions of fundamental functional importance: the anti-codon, which is responsible for specific mRNA codon recognition, and the 3' end, to which the tRNAs corresponding amino acid is attached (by aminoacyl-tRNA synthetases). tRNAs cope with the degeneracy of the genetic code in two manners: having more than one tRNA (with a specific anti-codon) for a particular amino acid; and 'wobble' base-pairing, i.e. permitting non-standard base-pairing at the 3rd anti-codon position. The record is from Rfam by way of RNAcentral. Lineage: Eukaryota; Metazoa; Chordata; Mammalia; Rodentia; Muridae.
GGGGAUUUGGCUCAGUGGUAGAGCGCUUGCCUAGCAAGCUCAAGGUCCUGGGUUCGGUCCCCAGCUCCG